UUAAGUUAUUAAGGGCGCACGGUGGAUGCCUUGGCACUAGAAGCCGAUGAAGGACGUUACUAACGACGAUAUGCUUUGGGGAGCUGUAAGUAAGCUGUGAUCCAGAGAUUUCCGAAUGGGGAAACCCAGCACGAGUUAUGUCGUGUUAUCGACAUGUGAAUAUAUAUCAUGUCUGAAGGCAUACCCGGAGAACUGAAACAUCUUAGUACCCGGAGGAAGAGAAAGAAAAAUCGAUUCCCUGAGUAGCGGCGAGCGAAACGGGAAGAGCCCAAACCAAUAAGCUUGCUUAUUGGGGUUGUAGGACACUCUAUACGGAGUUACAAAUGUAUAAAUUAGACGAAUUAUCUGGAAAGAUAAAUCAAAGAAGGUAAUAAUCCUGUAGUCGAAAAUUUAUACACUCUUGAGUGGAUCCUGAGUACGACGGAGCACGUGGAAUUCCGUCGGAAUCCGGGAGGACCAUCUCCCAAGGCUAAAUACUCUCUAGUGACCGAUAGUGAACCAGUACCGUGAGGGAAAGGUGAAAAGUACCCCGGAAGGGGAGUGAAAGAGAACUUGAAACCGUGUGCUUACAAGUAGUCAGAGCCCGUUAAUGGGUGAUGGCGUGCCUUUUGUAGAAUGAACCGGCGAGUUACGAUCUGAUGCAAGG
RNAcentral lists this ribosomal RNA (646 nucleotides) under Staphylococcus arlettae. Its description in RNAcentral is "partial 23S ribosomal RNA". It matches the Rfam family "Bacterial large subunit ribosomal RNA", at positions 3 to 645 of the family's 2925-position model. The record is from RNAcentral. Lineage: Bacteria; Bacillati; Bacillota; Bacilli; Caryophanales; Staphylococcaceae.